AGAAUCAACGCUGGCGGCGUGCCUCAGACAUGCAAGUCGAACGAUUAAACUUCCCUUCGGGAAGACAUAAAGUGGCGCACGGGUGAGUAACACGUAAGUAAUCUGCCUUUGAGUGGGGAAUAACCCGGGGAAACCCGAGCUAAUACCGCAUAAUGCAGCGGCACCGCAAGGUGACAGUUGUUAAAGGAGCAAUCCGCUUAAAGAGGAGCUUGCGGCAGAUUAGCUAGUUGGUAAGUACGCUUACCAAGGCUACGAUCUGUA
RNAcentral lists this ribosomal RNA (261 nucleotides) under uncultured soil bacterium. RNAcentral's name for it is "partial 16S ribosomal RNA". It matches the Rfam family "Bacterial small subunit ribosomal RNA", at positions 26 to 285 of the family's 1533-position model. The record is from RNAcentral.